RNAcentral lists this transfer RNA (76 nucleotides) under Marmota monax (woodchuck). RNAcentral describes it as "tRNA.Val". The record is from RNAcentral. Lineage: Eukaryota; Metazoa; Chordata; Mammalia; Rodentia; Sciuridae.
GCUCAGGUUAUGGUUCAGUGGUAGAAUGCUUGCCUAACAUGCAUGAGUCAAUGAGUUCAAAGUCUGAUCCCCAGCA